Molecule: unclassified non-coding RNA, 513 nt
Filed under: Hevea brasiliensis (rubber tree)
Lineage: Eukaryota; Viridiplantae; Streptophyta; Magnoliopsida; Malpighiales; Euphorbiaceae
Source: RNAcentral
ACAGAAUUUAAAUUCUGCAGAUGGCCAAAAACCAAAUUGCUUCAUGAGUGAGUUGUUUCAACAGUCAAUAAAUUCGAUAAAACCUGAAAUCUAGAAGCAAAAAAGCUGACUAAUCCAAUUUUGUAUUUAAGUUGGAACCUUAAAAAACUUGCUUAAAAUAUUGAUUGGAACUAUUAGAAUAUGACCAAGAAGGAAAUUAAGAGCACUAAGUACGUGCACAAUUGCAUGAUAUUAAUAGAUGCAGUUGCAUAAGCUUAAUUAACCCCCUGUCCACAAGUAUUUAAUUCUCAUGCAUUAGAAGAAGCUUCUGAGAACCCUAUGCACCCAAAGGAUACUUCUUUUUUCCUCCUAUUUUAAGAAAAUUUGACUUAGAGAUAUCAUCCAGGAUAUAUCAGAAUCACAAGUUGUUACUUCAAUCAGCAGCAGCAUGCACCGUGCAGGUUUGUGAGCAUAUAAUUCAUGGCAGUUGGUGUAAAACAAUGACAAAGGAAAAAAAAAACAUUUACAGUUUGA